RNAcentral lists this ribosomal RNA (477 nucleotides) under uncultured marine eukaryote. RNAcentral's name for it is "SSU rRNA". It matches the Rfam family "Eukaryotic small subunit ribosomal RNA", at positions 619 to 1098 of the family's 1831-position model. The record is from RNAcentral.
UUAAAAAGCUCGUAGUCGAAUUUUUAAGGGAAUCAAUUUCGUGUGGUCUUAAUGAACUACAAAGGAAGAUGAUUUAUCUUAUUUUGCGCUUAUACACCGUUGGAAUUCGUUUUCUGACAGUGAAUUAAGUGUGUAUUUACUUUGAGAAAAUUAGAGUGUUCUAAGCAGUCUUACGGCUUUAUCCUAAAGCAUGGAAUGAUAAGUAAUGACAUCGGUUAAUUUCUGUUGGUUUGAGAGGUUGAUGUAAUGAUUUAUAGAGUUAGUCGGAGGUAUUAGUAUUUUGUCGUUAGAGGUGAAAUUCCGGGAUCGACAAAAGACUAACAACUGCGAAGGCAUUUACCUAGGAUUUGCUCCUUGAUCAAGAACGUAAGUUGGGGGAUCGAAGACGAUCAGAUACCGUCGUAGUCUCAACUUUAAACUAUAUCAGCUAGGGGUUGGCAAAUGUUUAUAUGACUUUGUUAGAACCUUAAGAGAAAU